This 205-nucleotide small RNA is filed under the name Cronobacter malonaticus. Its description in RNAcentral is "tp2". It matches the Rfam family "tp2". Lineage: Bacteria; Pseudomonadati; Pseudomonadota; Gammaproteobacteria; Enterobacterales; Enterobacteriaceae. The record is from RNAcentral.
GGUAUUCCUUAUCAUCUAUCUAAUACGUUGAUUUAUCUGGAACCUGUCCCAUUGCACUCUGUGCUCUUACAGCGUCCGGCUGCGUCUGUAGCGGCUGUGCGCCCCCUUUCUUUUAAGGGCUUCAUCUUGCCGCCGCGAUGCAACCUGAACUACGGGCACUUAACAAAGCGCAAUAAGACAGGUUCUGGGUUUAGUUGCCGCGCUU